CUACGGGUGGCAGCAGUGGGGAAUAUUGGACAAUGGGGGAAACCCUGAUCCAGCAAUGCCGCGUGUGUGAAGAAGGCCUGCGGGUUGUAAAGCACUUUCGGUUGGGAGGACUGCUUCUAGCACUAAUAUUGUUGGAAGUUGACGUUACGUUCAGAAGAAGCACCGGCUAACUCCGUGCCAGCAGCCGCGGUAAUACGGAGGGUGCAAGCGUUAAUCGGAAUUACUGGGCGUAAAGCGCGCGUAGGCGGCUAGAUCAGUCGGGUGUGAAAGCCCCGGGCUUAACCUGGGAACUGCAUCCGAUACUGUCUAGCUUGAGUACAGGAGAGGAGAGUGGAAUUCCACAUGUAGCGGUGAAAUGCGUAGAUAUGUGGAGGAACACCAAUGGCGAAGGCAGCUCUCUGGCCUGAUACUGACGCUGAGGUGCGAAAGCGUGGGUAGCAAACAGGAUUAGAUACCCCAGUAGUC
Molecule: ribosomal RNA, 465 nt
Filed under: uncultured bacterium
Lineage: Bacteria
Description: partial 16S ribosomal RNA
Rfam family: Bacterial small subunit ribosomal RNA
Source: RNAcentral